This 119-nucleotide ribosomal RNA is filed under the name Pteropus alecto (black flying fox). Lineage: Eukaryota; Metazoa; Chordata; Mammalia; Chiroptera; Pteropodidae. The record is from RNAcentral.
AUCUAUGGCCACGCUACCCUGAACAAGCCUGAUACCGUCUGAUCUCAGAAGCUAAGCAGGGUCAGGCCUGGUUAGUACUUGGAAAGGAGACCACCUAGAAAGACCAGGUGCUGUAGGCA